RNAcentral lists this ribosomal RNA (553 nucleotides) under uncultured archaeon. Its description in RNAcentral is "bacterial SSU rRNA". It matches the Rfam family "Archaeal small subunit ribosomal RNA", at positions 325 to 879 of the family's 1478-position model. The record is from RNAcentral.
ACGGGGUGCAGCAGGCGCGAAAACUUCGCACUGUGCGAAAGCACGACGAGGGAAUCCCAAGUGCUGGCUCGUAAGAGUCAGCUGUUUCUUUGUCUAAAAAACAGAGAGAGUAAGGGCUGGGUAAGACGGGCGCCAGCCGCCGCGGUAAUACCUGCAGCCCAAGUGGUGGCCGCUAUUAUUGGGCCUAAAACGUCCGUAGCCGGUUCUAUAAAUGCCUGGGUAAAUCGUACGGCUUAACCGUACGAAUUCCGGGUAGACUGUUCAACUUGAGACCGGGAGAAGCUAGAGGUACUCCUGGGGUAGAGGUGAAAUUCUGUAAUCCUAGGGGGACCACCAGUGGCGAAGGCGUCUAGCUAGAACGGGUUUGACGGUGAGGGACGAAGCCCUGGGGCGCAAACGGGAUUAGAUACCCCGGUAGUCCAGGGUGUAAACGCUGCUUGCUUGAUGUUAGUCGGGCUUCGAGCCCGGUUAGUGUCGGAGAGAAGUUGUUAAGCAAGCUGCCUGGGAAGUACGGCCGCAAGACUGAAACUUAAAGGAAUUGGCGGGGGAGCAC